UCUCCGUAGGUGAACCUGCGGAGGGAUCAUUACUGAGUGAGGGCUCACGCCCGACCUCCAACCCUUUGUGAACACAUCUUGUUGCUUCGGGGGCGACCCUGCCGGCACUCUGUCGCCGGGCGCCCCCGAAGGUCUCCAAACACUGCAUCUUUGCGUCGGAGUUUAAAACAAAUAAAAAAAACCUUUCAACAACGGAUCUCUUGUUUCUGCAAUCGAUGAAGAACGCGGC
Molecule: unclassified non-coding RNA, 229 nt
Filed under: uncultured fungus
Lineage: Eukaryota; Fungi
Description: sequence contains ITS1, 5.8S rRNA gene
Source: RNAcentral